This 469-nucleotide long non-coding RNA is filed under the name Cricetulus griseus (Chinese hamster). Its description in RNAcentral is "lncRNA (ENSCGRG00015035375.1)". Lineage: Eukaryota; Metazoa; Chordata; Mammalia; Rodentia; Cricetidae. The record is from RNAcentral.
UUUAAUUUUUAAGAUUUAUUUAUUAUGUAUACAGUGUUCUGUCUUCAUAUUUGCCUGUAGUUCUUAACCACAAGAAGUUGCUGACUAUGGAACUAUGUCAGGCAGAAGAGAUUGCCAUGGAAGGAAUGCAUGUUUGCAACUAUUAUGCAACAACUACUUCAAGAUAUUGGGAUGCAGGCUCAGAAUAACUUGAAAGUGGAGUUUGGCCAGGGAUAGAGUUUGCCGGGCGAGUACAGCUCCAGGAAGAGCAGUGGAACUAACAUGACUGUAAAGGCCAUGAAUCAGGCUCCUCAGAAAACAUGACAGAUGGCUAUGGGCUGUACAAUGAACAAAAGGAGUGUGUGGAUCCGACAAAUAUCUUAGAAAUAAUAAUGAAAGAUUGAGUCCUUCCCAGUGAGUCCUCCACGGAGAACAAAAGACUAAAUCACUGGAUUUCAGUGUUGUUCUUUAAGUGAAAAGUAGACAUGCU